ACACUCACAGAUGACAGGGCUUGCGGUACCAAAGCCUCUUUAUCUUCCAGACUACAGCUCCUAUUACUGUGAAAACAGGAAAAGACGUAAAAAUCGCACAAAAUGGCAUUGACACUUUGGCGCGGGAACCUCACUUUAGCAGCCAGAAGGUUCCCCACGACCCACCACUGCCUGCCAAGAUGAAUGUAAAUGAAGCAGAAGUCUCACAGGCUGGGCACAGCAGGAAGAAGCAUUCUCAUCAUGGGCACUUAGCUUGCUUGAGAUUACACAGAACCAUGCCUCUGGUUUCCUGGUACAGUGCUCCUGUAGGUGACGGAUGCUCCCGGGUGACAUAUCAUGAAUCUCUCUGAGAUAAGAUCUUCAUGAUUCUAUAUCAUAGGCAUCUCUUUAUCUUCAAGUUGGGCAACAUCAGCAAGGUUCCCAUGAGUAUGUGCCCAGCGAGGCUAUUCUGUUCCUCUCAUCUUUUUUUUUCUACUUGUCCUCGUUUUUCCUGAGAUUUUAUUUCCUUCCUAGCUGGCAUACAUUUCCCUGCUGUGGUAUUCAGACCUAAAUAGUGUGUGCACCUAUUACCUCUGCAGAGUAAUUACUAUUUGGUACCAUGGUAGAGUUUC
RNAcentral lists this non-coding RNA (611 nucleotides) under Pongo abelii (Sumatran orangutan). Lineage: Eukaryota; Metazoa; Chordata; Mammalia; Primates; Hominidae. The record is from RNAcentral.